CACGUAGGGCGCAAGCGUUGUCCGGAAUUAUUGGGCGUAAAGAGCUCGUAGGUGGUUUGUUACGUCUGCUGUGAAAACCCAGGGCUCAACCCUGGGCCUGCAUUCGAUACGGGCAGACUAGAGUUCGGUAGGGGAGACUGGAAUUCCUGGUGUAGCGGUGAAAUGCGCAGAUAUCAGGAGGAACACCGGUGGCGAAGGCGGGUCUCUGGGCCGAAACUGACGCUGAGGAGCGAAAGCGUGGGGAGCAAACAGG
RNAcentral lists this ribosomal RNA (253 nucleotides) under uncultured bacterium. RNAcentral describes it as "partial 16S ribosomal RNA". It matches the Rfam family "Bacterial small subunit ribosomal RNA", at positions 524 to 776 of the family's 1533-position model. The record is from RNAcentral.